UACGGAGGGUGCAAGCGUUAAUCGGAAUUACUGGGCGUAAAGCGCGCGUAGGUGGUCGUUCACGCCGGGUGUGAAAGCCCUGGGCUCAACCUGGGAAUGGCAUCCGGAACGGGGCGACUAGAGUGCAGGAGAGGAAGGUAGAAUUCCCGGUGUAGCGGUGAAAUGCGUAGAGAUCGGGAGGAAUACCGGUGGCGAAGGCGGCCUUCUGGCCUGACACUGACACUGAGGUGCGAAAGCGUGGGUAGCAAACAGG
RNAcentral lists this ribosomal RNA (253 nucleotides) under uncultured bacterium. RNAcentral's name for it is "partial 16S ribosomal RNA". It matches the Rfam family "Bacterial small subunit ribosomal RNA", at positions 524 to 776 of the family's 1533-position model. The record is from RNAcentral.